This is a small nucleolar RNA of Phyllostomus discolor (pale spear-nosed bat), 103 nucleotides long. RefSeq annotates it as small nucleolar RNA U13. The transcript has a single exon. The record is from RefSeq and is a predicted model, not a curated record. NCBI's taxonomy places the organism in Eukaryota, Metazoa, Chordata, Mammalia, Chiroptera, Phyllostomidae.
GUUCUUAUGUAGUUUGUAGAGUGAUGAUUGGGUGUGCAUGCUCUUAUGUGGGAUGUGCCUCCCUUAGACCUUGUGAUGGCAUCGGCACGUUACCCAUCUGAUG